Long non-coding RNA from Pseudopipra pipra, 223 nucleotides. RefSeq lists it as uncharacterized. NCBI's taxonomy places the organism in Eukaryota, Metazoa, Chordata, Aves, Passeriformes, Pipridae. The transcript is spliced from 4 exons. The record is from RefSeq and is a predicted model, not a curated record.
CCCGGGGGGCAGCCGGGGCUGGAGGGGGUGGGGACACCCGUGUCCCCCCCAGCCCCACAAGGCCAACCCCAACCAAGCCUUUGCUCUCCUCCUGCAGCCCGUUCAGGCCGGCGGCGUCCAAUGUGGGGAGGCAGGCGGGAUCGGCGGCCCGCCAAUCUCGGGACAAGGAGGAGGUGGAUGUGUCGGGGGAGGCAUGGAUGUCCAUCGAGUGAAGAGGUCUGAG